GACGAACGCUGGCGGCGUGCUUAACACAUGCAAGUCGAACGGAAAGGCCCUGCUUUUGUGGGGUGCUCGAGUGGCGAACGGGUGAGUAACACGUGAGUAACCUGCCCUUGACUUUGGGAUAACUUCAGGAAACUGGGGCUAAUACCGGAUAGGAGCUCCUGCUGCAUGGUGGGGGUUGGAAAGUUUCGGCGGUUGGGGAUGGACUCGCGGCUUAUCAGCUUGUUGGUGGGGUAGUGGCUUACCAAGGCUUUGACGGGUAGCCGGCCUGAGAGGGUGACCGGCCACAUUGGGACUGGGAUACGGCCCAGACUCCUACGGGAGGCAGCAGUGGGGAAGAUUGCACUAUGGGCGGAAGCCUGAUGCAGCAACGCCGCGUGCGGGAUGACGGCCUUCGGGUUGUAAACCGCUUUCGCCUGUGACGAAGCGUGAGUGACGGUAAUGGGUAAAGAAGCACCGGCUAACUACGUG
This 468-nucleotide ribosomal RNA is filed under the name uncultured bacterium. Its description in RNAcentral is "partial 16S ribosomal RNA". It matches the Rfam family "Bacterial small subunit ribosomal RNA", at positions 28 to 507 of the family's 1533-position model. The record is from RNAcentral.